AUUUUUUUUUUUUUUUUUUUUGGGAGGAGGGGAGGGUGGUUGGUGCGGUGUUCACAGCAUCUAAUAUGGACUUAUAGUUACUGCUGAUUCUGUUGUCUCUGCUGUACAAAAUUGGAGUGAUUUUGUGAUGCAUUCUGAAGUGCCAACAUACUGGACUGUAAAUUCUGUGCAUUUGGUGGCAUAUUACCAAAUGCACCUUGAGAACCAAGCUGCUGCUGUUGUUGAGGCUGCUGCGGCUGUAUGGGCAUCAUACCACCAGGAUUUGACACUCCCAUAUUAAACACUAGCAAAAACCCCAACUGAAUUUCAGCCUCACACAUCAACACUCAAAAAACCCGAAUUAUUUGUUUGUAACAAAUGCUUAUGGCCUUUAUGGCACCCAUCCACUUAAAAUUUACAAAAGAAAAGCAGUUGCAGCCUUAUAGGCUAGCAAUUAAGGAAGAGACCAAAAAAGCUGGGGAAAUUUAGGAUAGAAAGAAAGAAAAAAUGGAAGAUAAAACAUCAAAGAAAUGCAAAGUAAAAAACAAAUAACAUAGCAAGGCGAAGAAAAAGGCAAACAAAGGGUGUAGUUCAUACCUUGAUCAUUCAUAAUUUGGGAUGCAUGACUCCUCUGGGGAUUGCUACCAGUUAAUCCAAACUGCAUUCGUGGCACAAGCGGUUGAGACGACAUUGUAGCCGACAUGUUUGGAAUCUAGAAAACGAGAAUAAAUUUACAUUGUUAGCCCAGCAUUGUGGAAAUAAUCAAUUUUGAUGACUUUUGUUGAAAAAUUGCCUUGUGCAGUGUUAGAAUAUCAAGGAGCCUAAUGGUGGUCAAAACUAAACAUAGCAGGAAGGGGUUAAAAACAAGAAUAAAUUUGAUUAAUACCUAAUAUUAAAAUAUAAAAAGAUAGUCUGCAUUGAUGGAACAAAUACGCAAUUUAUAGAUGCAAACCAGUCAAAUUUCAACCAUCACCAUAUUAAUCAAAAUUAACAAAAGAAACAAGAGAAAAUCAAAUUUAACAAAAGAAACAUGAGAAAAUUUGCCUAACAAUUACAUCUGAUACAAAAGGGAUCAUACAAGAGUAACAAGACUACGUGAGUAAAUGAACAUAUCUGACCAUCUGAGUAUUUGGUGCCACCUGAGCAGCAUUAAACAGUGCAUUAUUUGCAGUACCAGAAAACUGGCUUAAAUGGCGAUUUAACUGAUUCCCUUGGUUAAGUGGACUUUGACCCAUGCCAUGCUGAACAUGCCCAGAGGGCAGUUGCCUACCCUGAAAUUGCUGGUGUCCCAGUGGCUGAGAAAAUUGCAUCUGAUGCUGUCCAUGUAACUGGUGAGAAAUUAAUUUGCGCCAAACAAUUAUUACAAAAAAAAAAAAAUAAAAGGGAUGCAUCAAUCAGUUAUAAAAUUCCAGACUGAGAAAAGGAAUCAGGUUAAGUCCUUAAUUCAGUUACAUGGUAAAGUAGGGGUGGCCACCAGGCCAGUUCCAGUUCAAGGUUCAUGAGAAACUUGAACUGGACCAAAGGGUCCCCCUCGGUUCCGGUUUUGAUCAAAUCCAACAGUUAGAAUUUUUUAUUCUUCUUUUUUGGGGUGUGUUUGUAAGUACAAUGUCAUAGGCUCCAAGAAGGGAAAAAUAAACACGAAAACAAUGUUGACUGAAUUAAAUGAUGAUUAUAAGAAUAUAACUGCAACAUUACCUGCUGAAACUUCUGCUGACUCUGUCCCUGCAAAUCAUGCAGCUGUGGCAGCUGGUUCUGUCCCAAUCCUUGCAUUGAAGAUUGCCUAAAUUGUUGCUGAGCAAGGAGUUGCUGUUGAUGUGGUAAUUGCAUCAUUUUUUGCCUUUGCUGUUGCUGCUGCUGCUGCUGUUGUUGUUGGAAGUUGUGAGAGUUGUUGCUGUUGCUGCAACUGAGGAUACUGUUGUUGAUGUUGCAGCUGUGGUUGCAUCUGCUGGUGAUGCUGCUGUUGCAUUUUUCUUGCUGCUGUUGCAUUUUUCUUGCUGCUGUUGCAUUUUUCU
RNAcentral lists this unclassified non-coding RNA (1991 nucleotides) under Hevea brasiliensis (rubber tree). The record is from RNAcentral. Lineage: Eukaryota; Viridiplantae; Streptophyta; Magnoliopsida; Malpighiales; Euphorbiaceae.